UCUUCAAUAGCUUAGUUGGUAAAGUGUUCGUCUAGCAAACAAGCAUCGUGAGAUUGAAUCUCUUUGGAAAAA
Molecule: transfer RNA, 72 nt
Filed under: Aedes aegypti (yellow fever mosquito)
Lineage: Eukaryota; Metazoa; Arthropoda; Insecta; Diptera; Culicidae
Rfam family: tRNA
About the family: Transfer RNA (tRNA) molecules are approximately 80 nucleotides in length. Their secondary structure includes four short double-helical elements and three loops (D, anti-codon, and T loops).
Source: Rfam by way of RNAcentral